UAUUGCACAAUGGAGGAAACUCUGAUGCAGCGACGCCGCGUGAGUGAUGAAGUAUUUCGGUAUGUAAAGCUCUUUCAGCAGGGAAGAUAAUGACGGUACCUGCAUAAGAAGCCUCGGCUAACUACGUGCCAGCAGCCGCGGUAAUACGUAGGGGGCAAGCGUUAUCCGGAUUUACUGGGGGUAAAGGGACCGCAGGCGGCCAUGCAAGUCAGAAGUGAAAACCCACGGCUUAACUGUGGGACUGCUUUUGAAACUGUAAGGCUGGAUUCCAGGAGAGGUAAGCGGAAUUCCUAGUGUAGCGGUGAAAUGCUUAGAUAUUAGGAAGAACACCGGUGGCGAAGGCGGCUUACUGGACUGGCAAUGACGCUGAGGCUCGAAAGCGUGGGGAGCAAACAGG
This 397-nucleotide ribosomal RNA is filed under the name uncultured bacterium. RNAcentral describes it as "bacterial SSU rRNA". It matches the Rfam family "Bacterial small subunit ribosomal RNA", at positions 362 to 776 of the family's 1533-position model. The record is from RNAcentral.